GUGUGGGUCCUGUGCAAUGAAACGCCGUGAACCAUGUCAGGCGAGGAAUCGAGCAGCAUUAAGCGGUUUGUUUUGUGUGACACAGUUCCGCCUACACGCC
Molecule: signal recognition particle RNA, 100 nt
Filed under: Clostridiales bacterium
Lineage: Bacteria; Bacillati; Bacillota; Clostridia; Eubacteriales
Description: signal recognition particle sRNA small type
Rfam family: Bacterial small signal recognition particle RNA
About the family: The signal recognition particle (SRP) is a universally conserved ribonucleoprotein involved in the co-translational targeting of proteins to membranes. Archaeal SRP consists of a 7S RNA and homologues of the eukaryotic SRP19 and SRP54 proteins. In most bacteria, the SRP consists of a 4.5S RNA and the Ffh protein (a homologue of the eukaryotic SRP54 protein).
Source: RNAcentral